GGCCUGGUGGUGUAGUUGGAAACACGCUCUCUUCAUAUAUAUAAGUCCAAGUAUCCAUCAGAGAAAGUCCCUUGUUCGAAUCAAGGCCAGGUUA
Molecule: non-coding RNA, 94 nt
Organism: Mycena rebaudengoi
Lineage: Eukaryota; Fungi; Basidiomycota; Agaricomycetes; Agaricales; Mycenaceae
Source: the annotation of a GenBank genome assembly